UACGAAGGGGGCUAGCGUUACUCGGAAUUACUGGGCGUAAAGGGCGCGUAGGCGGCUUGAUAAGUCAGGCGUGAAAUUCCCGGGCUCAACCUGGGGACUGCGCUUGAGACUGCUGGGCUAGAGGAUGGAAGAGGGUCGUGGAAUUCCCAGUGUAGAGGUGAAAUUCGUAGAUAUUGGGAAGAACACCGGUGGCGAAGGCGGCGACCUGGUCCAUUACUGACGCUGAGGCGCGACAGCGUGGGGAGCAAACAGG
This 253-nucleotide ribosomal RNA is filed under the name uncultured bacterium. Its description in RNAcentral is "partial 16S ribosomal RNA". It matches the Rfam family "Bacterial small subunit ribosomal RNA", at positions 524 to 776 of the family's 1533-position model. The record is from RNAcentral.